GAUGAACGCUGGCGGCGUGCCUAAUACAUGCAAGUCGAGCGAACAGACGAGGAGCUUGCUCCUCUGACGUUAGCGGCGGACGGGUGAGUAACACGUGGAUAACCUACCUAUAAGACUGGGAUAACUUCGGGAAACCGGAGCUAAUACCGGAUAAUAUAUUGAACCGCAUGGUUCAAUAGUGAAAGACGGUUUUGCUGUCACUUAUAGAUGGAUCCGCGCCGCAUUAGCUAGUUGGUAAGGUAACGGCUUACCAAGGCAACGAUGCGUAGCCGACCUGAGAGGGUGAUCGGCCACACUGGAACUGAGACACGGUCCAGACUCCUAAGGGAGGCAGCAGUAGGGAAUCUUCCGCAAUGGGCGAAAGCCUGACGGAGCAAAGCCGCGUGAGUGAUGAAGGUCUUCGGAUCGUAAAACUCUGUUAUUAGGGAAGAACAAAUGUGUAAGUAACUAUGAACGUCUUGACGGUACCUAAUCAGAAAGCCACGGCUAACUACGUG
Molecule: ribosomal RNA, 497 nt
Filed under: uncultured bacterium
Lineage: Bacteria
Description: partial 16S ribosomal RNA
Rfam family: Bacterial small subunit ribosomal RNA
Source: RNAcentral